Molecule: long non-coding RNA, 186 nt
Organism: Saccostrea cuccullata (small rock oyster)
Lineage: Eukaryota; Metazoa; Mollusca; Bivalvia; Ostreida; Ostreidae
Exons: 3
Source: RefSeq, a predicted model, not a curated record
UAAUCUAUUGCAGAACUUGUUCGGAGUCGGCCAUGUUGACUUCUUAUGGCUCGGAGUAAAUAAAAUUCACCUGUUAUAUUGGGAUGCUUUAUGAGGUGUAAAUAGACUUUGCUGGAUAAUCAAGAUUUCACUGAUUACCUAGCCAGAGACUGUGUGUAAAUAUUCUUUCACUUGUUUAUUUAUUCC